Molecule: ribosomal RNA, 440 nt
Filed under: uncultured bacterium
Lineage: Bacteria
Description: partial 16S ribosomal RNA
Rfam family: Bacterial small subunit ribosomal RNA
Source: RNAcentral
CCUACGGGUGGCAGCAGUGGGGAAUAUUGCACAAUGGGGGAAACCCUGAUGCAGCGACGCCGCGUGAGCGAUGAAGCAUUUCGGUACGUAAAGCCCUAUCAGCAGGGAAGAAAAUGACCGUACCUUACUAAGAAGCCCCGGCCAACUACGUGACAGCAACCGCGGUAAUACGUUGGGGGCAAGCGUUAGCCGGAGUUACUGGGGGGAAAGGGAGCGUAGACGGCGAUGCAAGCCAGGUGUGAAAGCCCGGGGCUCAACCCCGGGACUGCGUUUGGAACUUAAUAGCUGGAGUGUCGGAGAGGCAGGCGGAAUUCCGAGUGUAGCGGUGAAAUGCGUAGAUAUUAGGAGGAACACCAGUGGCGAAGGCGGCCUGCUGGACGAUGACUGACGUUGAGGCUCGAAAGCGUGGGGAGCAAACAGGAUUAGAUACCCUUGUAGUC